RNAcentral lists this transfer RNA (69 nucleotides) under Marmota monax (woodchuck). RNAcentral's name for it is "tRNA.Ala". Lineage: Eukaryota; Metazoa; Chordata; Mammalia; Rodentia; Sciuridae. The record is from RNAcentral.
GUGGUGGCUCAGUGGUAGAGUAGCUUGCCUAGCGUGCAUGAGGCACUGGGUUCGAUCCUCGGCAUCACA